Molecule: ribosomal RNA, 466 nt
Filed under: uncultured bacterium
Lineage: Bacteria
Description: partial 16S ribosomal RNA
Rfam family: Bacterial small subunit ribosomal RNA
Source: RNAcentral
GAUGAACGCUGGCGGCGUGCUUAACACAUGCAAGUCGAACGAUGAAGCCCAGCUUGCUGGGUGGAUUAGUGGCGAACGGGUGAGUAACACGUGAUUAACCUGCCCUUGACUCUGGGAUAAGCCUGGGAAACUGGGUCUAAUACUGGAUAUGACUUCUCAUCGCAUGGUGGGGGUUGGAAAGAUUUAUUGGUCUUGGAUGGACUCGCGGCCUAUCAGCUUGUUGGUGAGGUAAUGGCUCACCAAGGCGACGACGGGUAGCCGGCCUGAGAGGGUGACCGGCCACACUGGGACUGAGACACGGCCCAGACUCCUACGGGAGGCAGCAGUGGGGAAUAUUGCACAAUGGGCGCAAGCCUGAUGCAGCGACGCCGCGUGAGGGAUGACGGCCUUCGGGUUGUAAACCUCUUUCAGUAGGGAAGAAGCGAGAGUGACGGUACCUGCAGAAGAAGCGCCGGCUAACUACGUG